GCAGAAGUCAGAUUUGGUGAUAAA
This 24-nucleotide non-coding RNA is filed under the name Arabidopsis thaliana (thale cress). Lineage: Eukaryota; Viridiplantae; Streptophyta; Magnoliopsida; Brassicales; Brassicaceae. The record is from RNAcentral.